GAUGAACGCUGGCGGCGUGCCUAAUACAUGCAAGUCGAGCGAACGGACGAGAAGCUUGCUUCUCUGAUGUUAGCGGCGGACGGGUGAGUAACACGUGGAUAACCUACCUAUAAGACUGGGAUAACUUCGGGAAACCGGAGCUAAUACCGGAUAAUAUUUUGAACCGCAUGGUUCAAAAGUGAAAGACGGUCUUGCUGUCACUAAUAGAUGGAUACGCGCUGCAUUAGUUAGUUGGUAAGGUAACGGCUUACCAAGGCAACGAGGCAUAGCCGACCUGAGAGGGUGAUCGGCCACACUGGAACUGAGACACGGUCCAGACUCCUACGGGGGGCAGCAGUAGGGAAUCUUCCGCAAUGGGCGAAAGCCUGACGGAGGAACGCCGCGUGAGUGAUGAAGGUCUUCGGAUCGUAAAACUCUGUUAUUAGGGAAGAACAUAUGUGUAAGUAACUGUGCACAUCUUGACGGUACCUAAUCAGAAAGCCACGGCUAACUACGUG
RNAcentral lists this ribosomal RNA (497 nucleotides) under uncultured bacterium. RNAcentral describes it as "partial 16S ribosomal RNA". It matches the Rfam family "Bacterial small subunit ribosomal RNA", at positions 28 to 507 of the family's 1533-position model. The record is from RNAcentral.